Molecule: non-coding RNA, 640 nt
Organism: Pelobates cultripes (western spadefoot toad)
Lineage: Eukaryota; Metazoa; Chordata; Amphibia; Anura; Pelobatidae
Source: the annotation of a GenBank genome assembly
AUAUGAGAGUUGUUUUGAUUAAACUGUUGGUAUGGUUUGUCUGCAUUCCUCAAAGAAUUAACUUUUUUUUUUUUUUUUUCUAUUUUUUCUUUCCUGCAGAGGCCUCUUGUGCAAACCCUUUUGGACGAUUCAGUUCGUAUUACUCAUUUGCUGUGGAUUUAUCAAUCAUCAUGUCAUCCGUAUGCGUAAGUAUACAAUGGUAUUUAUGCCAUUAAAAGACCAGAUCAUCUCCAGAUGUAGGUGAGCCACUGACUAACGCACAUUGCGCUGCUACCUGAAUGCCACUGUGCGUGUGACAGCGGCUAACCAGCUUCUCGGACUGCAACUGACUGCUCUGGCCUUAACUAUUCCUUGCUCACUGACUUUGUUGGAGAAACCACAUGCAGAAACAGACCAAAAGCACACUACCAAGAAUAUCCUUCUAUUUUACUUCGUCCCGUGGACACUUUACUAGCACUGUGUUAUAUAAUCCUGGCAACCUGACUUGGAAAUGACAAAUAAUAAAAUGUAUUUUCUUGUAAAAUGCCUUGUCAUAAUUCAAAUGUGUGCAUUUUGAAAAAUAAAUUUUGUACUUGCCAAAAAAGUGUUUUAAUUUUCAGUGGAAUUUUGUAACAGUGCACAUCCUUGCUUAUAAUGUAGA